RNAcentral lists this ribosomal RNA (412 nucleotides) under uncultured microorganism. RNAcentral describes it as "bacterial SSU rRNA". It matches the Rfam family "Bacterial small subunit ribosomal RNA", at positions 9 to 417 of the family's 1533-position model. The record is from RNAcentral.
GAGUUUGAUCGUGGCUCAGAUUGAACGCUGGCGGCAUGCCUUACACAUGCAAGUCGAACGGCAGCAUGAUCUAGCUUGCUAGAUUGAUGGCGAGUGGCGAACGGGUGAGUAAUACAUCGGAACGUGCCCUGUAGUGGGGGAUAACUAGUCGAAAGAUUAGCUAAUACCGCGUACGACCUGAGGGUGAAAGUGGGGGACCGCAAGGCCUCAUGCUGUAGGAGCGGCCGAUGUCUGAUUAGCUAGUUGGUGGGGUAAAGGCCCACCAAGGCGACGAUCAGUAGCUGGUCUGAGAGGACGAUCAGCCACACUGGGACUGAGACACGGCCCAGACUCCUACGGGAGGCAGCAGCGGGGAAUUUUGGACAAUGGGCGAAAGCCUGAUCCAGCAAUGCCGCGUGUGUGAAGAAGGCCU